This 494-nucleotide ribosomal RNA is filed under the name uncultured soil bacterium. RNAcentral describes it as "bacterial SSU rRNA". It matches the Rfam family "Bacterial small subunit ribosomal RNA", at positions 26 to 517 of the family's 1533-position model. The record is from RNAcentral.
AGAUUGAACGCUGGCGGCAGGCCUAACACAUGCAAGUCGAGCGGCAGCACGGGUACUUGUACCUGGUGGCGAGCGGCGGACGGGUGAGUAAUGCCUAGGAAUCUGCCUGAUAGUGGGGGAUAACGUUCGGAAACGGACGCUAAUACCGCAUACGUCCUACGGGAGAAAGUGGGGGAUCUUCGGACCUCACGCUAUCAGAUGAGCCUAGGUCGGAUUAGCUAGUUGGUAGGGUAAAGGCCUACCAAGGCUACGAUCCGUAACUGGUCUGAGAGGAUGAUCAGUCACACUGGAACUGAGACACGGUCCAGACUCCUACGGGAGGCAGCAGUGGGGAAUAUUGGACAAUGGGCGAAAGCCUGAUCCAGCCAUGCCGCGUGUGUGAAGAAGGUCUUCGGAUUGUAAAGCACUUUAAGUUGGGAAGAAGGCAAUUAACCAAUACGUUAGUGUUUUGACGUUACGACAGAAUAAGCACGCUAACUCUGUGCCAGCAGCCG